GGUUAAGCGACUAAGCGUACACGGUGGAUGCCCGGCAGUCAGAGGCGAUGAAGGACGUGCUAAUCUGCGAAAAGCGUCGGUAAGGUGAUAUGAACCGUUAUAACCGGCGAUGUCCGAAUGGGGAAACCCAGUGCAAUUCGUUGCACUAUCGUUAACUGAAUACAUAGGUUAACGAGGCGAACCGGGGGAACUGAAACAUCUAAGUACCCCGAGGAAAAGAAAUCAACCGAGAUUCCCCCCAGUAGCGGCGAGCGAACGGGGAGCAGCCCAGAGUCUGAAUCAGCUUGUGUGUUAGUGGAACGGUCUGGAAAGUCCGACGGUACAGGGUGAUAGUCCCGUACACCAAAAUGCACAGGUUGUGAACUCGAAGAGUAGGGCGGGACACGUGGUAUCCUGUCUGAAUAUGGGGGACCAUCCUCCAAGGCUAAAUACUCCUGACUGACCGAUAGUGAACCAGUACCGUGAGGGAAAGGCGAAAAGAACCCCGGCGAGGGGAGUGAAAAAGAACCUGAAACCGUGUACGUACAAGCAGUGGGAGCACCUUCGGGUGUGACUGCGUACCUUUGUAUAAUGGGUCAGCGACUUAUAUUCUGUAGCAAGGUUAACCGUAUAGGGGAGCCGCAGGAAACCGAGUCUUAACUGGGCGUUAAGUUGCAGGGUAUAGACCCGAAACCCGGUGAUCUAGCCAUGGGCAGGUUGAAGGUUGGGUAACACUAACUGGAGGACCGAACCGACUAAUGUUGAAAAAUUAGCGGAUGACUUGUGGCUGGGGGUGAAAGGCCAAUCAAACCGGGAGAUAGCUGGUUCUCCCCGAAAGCUAUUUAGGUAGCGCCUCGUGAACUCAUCUUCGGGGGUAGAGCACUGUUUCGGCUAGGGGGUCAUCCCGACUUACCAACCCGAUGCAAACUACGAAUACCGAAGAAUGUUAUCACGGGAGACACACGGCGGGUGCUAACGUCCGUCGUGAAGAGGGAAACAACCCAGACCGCCAGCUAAGGUCCCAAAGUCAUGGUUAAGUGGGAAACGAUGUGGGAAGGCACAGACAGCCGGGGAUGUUGGCUUAGAAGCAGCCAUCAUUUAAAGAAAGCGUAAUAGCUCACUGGUCGAGUCGGCCUGCGCGGAAGAUGUAACGGGGCUAAACCAUGCACCGAAGCUGCGGCAGCGACACUAUGUGUUGUUGGGUAGGGGAGCGUUCUGUAAGCCUGCGAAGGUGUGCUGUGAGGCAUGCUGGAGGUAUCAGAAGUGCGAAUGCUGACAUAAGUAACGAUAAAGCGGGUGAAAAGCCCGCUCGCCGGAAGACCAAGGGUUCCUGUCCAACGUUAAUCGGGGCAGGGUGAGUCGACCCUAAGGCGAGGCCGAAAGGCGUAGUCGAUGGGAAACAGGUUAAUAUUCCUGUACUUGGUGUUACUGCGAAGGGGGACGGAGAAGGCUAUGUUAGCCGGGCGACGGUUGUCCCGGUUUAAGCAUGUAGGCUGAUUGUCCGAGGCAAAUCCGGAUAAUCAAGGCUGAGGUGUGAUGACGAGGCACUACGGUGCUGAAGUAACAAAUGCCCUGCUUCCGAGGAAAAGCCUCUAAGCAUCAGGUAACAUUAAAUCGUACCCCAAACCGACACAGGUGGUCAGGUAGAGAAUACCAAGGCGCUUGAGAGAACUCGGGUGAAGGAACUAGGCAAAAUGGUGCCGUAACUUCGGGAGAAGGCACGCUGGUGUGUAGGUGAAGUCCCUGCGGAUGGAGCUGAGACCAGUCGAAGAUACCAGCUGGCUGCAACUGUUUAUUAAAAACACAGCACUGUGCAAACACGAAAGUGGACGUAUACGGUGUGACGCCUGCCCGGUGCCGGAAGGUUAAUUGAUGGGGUUAUCCGUAAGGAGAAGCUCUUGAUCGAAGCCCCGGUAAACGGCGGCCGUAACUAUAACGGUCCUAAGGUAGCGAAAUUCCUUGUCGGGUAAGUUCCGACCUGCACGAAUGGCGUAAUGAUGGCCGGGCUGUCUCCACCCGAGACUCAGUGAAAUUGAACUCGCUGUGAAGAUGCAGUGUACCCGCGGCAAGACGGAAAGACCCCGUGAACCUUUACUAUAGCUUGACACUGAACAUUGAGCCUUGAUGUGUAGGAUAGGUGGGAGGCUUUGAAGCGUGGACGCCAGUCUGCGUGGAGCCAACCUUGAAAUACCACCCUUUAAUGUUUGAUGUUCUAACGUUGGCCCCUGACCGGGGUUGCGGACAGUGUCUGGUGGGUAGUUUGACUGGGGCGGUCUCCUCCCAAAGCGUAACGGAGGAGCACGAAGGUUAGCUAAUCCCCGGUCGGACAUCAGGAGGUUAGUGCAAUGGCAUAAGCUAGCUUGACUGCGAGCGUGACGGCGCGAGCAGGUGCGAAAGCAGGUCAUAGUGAUCCGGUGGUUCUGAAUGGAAGGGCCAUCGCUCAACGGAUAAAAGGUACUCCGGGGAUAACAGGCUGAUACCGCCCAAGAGUUCAUAUCGACGGCGGUGUUUGGCACCUCGAUGUCGGCUCAUCACAUCCCCGGGGCUGAAGUAGGUCCCAAGGGUAUGGCUGUUCGCCAUUUAAAGUGGUACGCGAGCUGGGUUUAGAACGUCGUGAGACAGUUCGGUCCCUAUCUGCCGUGGGCGCUGGAGAAUUGAGGGGGCUGCUCCUAGUACGAGAGGACCGGAGUGGACGCAUCACUGGUGUUCGGGUUGUCAUGCCAAUGGCACUGCCCGGUAGCUAAAUGCGGAAGAGAUAAGUGCUGAAAGCAUCUAAGCACGAAACUUGCCCCGAGAUGAGUUCUCCCUGAGACUUUAAGUCUCCUGAAGGAACGUUGAAGACGACGACGUUGAUAGGCCGGGUGUGUAAGCGCAGCGAUGCGUUGAGCUAACCGGUACUAAUGAACCGUGAGGCUUAACCUU
RNAcentral lists this ribosomal RNA (2901 nucleotides) under Klebsiella pneumoniae. RNAcentral describes it as "23S ribosomal RNA". It matches the Rfam family "Bacterial large subunit ribosomal RNA". Lineage: Bacteria; Pseudomonadati; Pseudomonadota; Gammaproteobacteria; Enterobacterales; Enterobacteriaceae. The record is from RNAcentral.